This 447-nucleotide ribosomal RNA is filed under the name uncultured bacterium. Its description in RNAcentral is "bacterial SSU rRNA". It matches the Rfam family "Bacterial small subunit ribosomal RNA", at positions 331 to 793 of the family's 1533-position model. The record is from RNAcentral.
CCAGACUCCUACGGGAGGCAGCAGUGGGGAAUAUUGCACAAUGGGGGGAACCCUGAUGCAGCGACGCCGCGUGGGCGAGGAAGUAUUUCGGUAUGUAAAGCCCUAUCGGCAGGGAAGAAGAAAUGACGGUACCUGAAUAAGAAGCACCGGCUAAAUACGUGCCAGCAGCCGCGGUAAUACGUAUGGUGCAAGCGUUAUCCGGAUUUACUGGGCGUAAAGGGAGCGUAGACGGUUGUGCAAGUCUGAAGUGAAAGGCCGCGGCUCAACUGCGGAACGGCUUUGGAAACUGUGUAACUGGAGUGCUGGAGAGGUAAGCGGAAUUCCUGGUGUAGCGGUGAAAUGCGUAGAGAUCAGGAGGAACACCGGCGGCGAAGGCGGCUUACUGGACAGUAACUGACGUUGAGGCUCGAAAGCGUGGGGAGCAAACAGGAUUAGAUACCCCCGUAA